UACGGAGGAUCCAAGCGUUAUCCGGAUUCAUUGGGUUUAAAGGGUGCGUAGGCGGACUUGUAAGUCAGUGGUGAAAUCUCUCAGCUUAACUGAGAAACUGCCAUUGAUACUGCAGGUCUAGAGUAUAGAUGACGUUGGCGGAAUAUGACAUGUAGUGGUGAAAUACUUAGGUAUGUCAUAGAACACCGAUUGCGAAGGCAGCUAACGAAAACUAUAACUGACGCUGAGGCACGAAAAGUGCGGGGAUCAAACAGG
RNAcentral lists this ribosomal RNA (255 nucleotides) under uncultured bacterium. Its description in RNAcentral is "partial 16S ribosomal RNA". It matches the Rfam family "Bacterial small subunit ribosomal RNA", at positions 524 to 776 of the family's 1533-position model. The record is from RNAcentral.